This 80-nucleotide transfer RNA is filed under the name Elusimicrobiota bacterium. RNAcentral's name for it is "Elusimicrobia bacterium (microbial mat metagenome) tRNA-Leu". It matches the Rfam family "tRNA". Rfam says of the family: Transfer RNA (tRNA) molecules are approximately 80 nucleotides in length. Lineage: Bacteria; Pseudomonadati; Elusimicrobiota. The record is from RNAcentral.
GCCGGGAUGGCGGAACUGGCAUACGCGUACGCUUGAGGUGCGUAUGGGCAACCGUGUGGGUUCGAGUCCCACUCCCGGCA